Molecule: ribosomal RNA, 403 nt
Filed under: uncultured bacterium
Lineage: Bacteria
Description: partial 16S ribosomal RNA
Rfam family: Bacterial small subunit ribosomal RNA
Source: RNAcentral
GACGAACGCUGGCGGCGUGCCUAAUACAUGCAAGUCGAACGCAGUGGGGACGGGUGAGUAACACGUGGGUAACCUCCCAUCAGAGGGGAUAACACUUGGAAACAGGUGCUAAACCGAUACUGAUGGAUGGACUCGCGGUGCAUUAGCUAGUUGGUGAGGUAACGGCUUACCAAGGCCACGAUGCAUAGCCGACCUGAGAGGGUGAUCGGCCACACUGGGACGGAGAGACGGCACAGACUCCUACGGGAGGCAGCAGUAGGGAAUCUUCGGCAAUGGACGAAAGUCUGACCGAGGCACGCCGCGUGAGUGAAGAAGGAUUUCGGUUUGUAAAACUCUGUUGUUAGAGAAGCGGUAUCUGACCAGAAAGCCACGGCUAACUACGUGCCAGCAGCCGCGGUAAUUC